GGCCGGAUGGCAGAGUGGUCAUGCAGCGGAUUGCAAAUCCGUGUACGCCGGUUCGAUUCCGACUUCGGCCU
This is a transfer RNA of 71 nucleotides. It matches the Rfam family "tRNA". Rfam says of the family: Transfer RNA (tRNA) molecules are approximately 80 nucleotides in length. Their secondary structure includes four short double-helical elements and three loops (D, anti-codon, and T loops). The record is from Rfam.